GGAGACGUGGCCGAGUGGUCGAAGGCGCGCCCCUGCUAAGGGCGUAGGCGGGGAACCGUCUCGAGGGUUCGAAUCCCUUCGUCUCCGCCA
RNAcentral lists this transfer RNA (90 nucleotides) under Paracoccus sigandri. RNAcentral's name for it is "Paracoccus siganidrum tRNA-Ser". It matches the Rfam family "tRNA". From Rfam's summary of the family: Transfer RNA (tRNA) molecules are approximately 80 nucleotides in length. Their secondary structure includes four short double-helical elements and three loops (D, anti-codon, and T loops). Further hydrogen bonds mediate the characteristic L-shaped molecular structure. tRNAs have two regions of fundamental functional importance: the anti-codon, which is responsible for specific mRNA codon recognition, and the 3' end, to which the tRNAs corresponding amino acid is attached (by aminoacyl-tRNA synthetases). tRNAs cope with the degeneracy of the genetic code in two manners: having more than one tRNA (with a specific anti-codon) for a particular amino acid; and 'wobble' base-pairing, i.e. permitting non-standard base-pairing at the 3rd anti-codon position. Lineage: Bacteria; Pseudomonadati; Pseudomonadota; Alphaproteobacteria; Rhodobacterales; Paracoccaceae. The record is from RNAcentral.